RNAcentral lists this ribosomal RNA (810 nucleotides) under uncultured archaeon. RNAcentral describes it as "bacterial SSU rRNA". It matches the Rfam family "Archaeal small subunit ribosomal RNA", at positions 85 to 879 of the family's 1478-position model. The record is from RNAcentral.
ACGGCUCAGUAACACGUGGCUAAUCUGCCCUUGGGAUAGGAACAUCCCCGGGAAACUGGGGCUAAUUCCCAAUAGGCGAAGAACUCUGGAAUGAGUCUUCACCAGAAAAGACGUUUACGUUAUGCUCGUAAGCGUCGCCCAAGGAUGAGGCCGCGACCGAUCAGGUUGUUGGUGAGGUAAUGGCUCACCAAGCCUUUUACCGGUGCGGGCCGUGAGAGCGGGAGCCCGGAGAUGGGCACUGAGACAAGGGCCCAGGCCCUACGGGGCGCAGCAGUCGCGAAAACUUUGCAAUACACGAAAGUGUGACAGGGCUAUCCCGAGUGCCAUCCGCUGAGGAAGGCUUUUACCCAGUCUAGAACGCUGGGGGAAUAAGGAGAGGGCAAGUCUGGUGUCAGCCGCCGCGGUAAUACCAGCUCUUCGAGUGGUGUGGAUGUUUAUUGGGCCUAAAGCAUCCGUAGCUGGCUGAGUUAGUCCCCUGUUAAAUCCACCGAAUUAAUCGUUGGAUUGCGGGGGAUACUGCUCGGCUAGGGGACGAGAGAGGCAGACGGUAUUUCCGGGGUAGGGGUGAAAUCCUAUAAUCCCGGGAAGACCACCAGUGGCGAAGGCUGUCUGCUAGAACGCGCCCGACGGUGGGGGAUGAAAGCUGGGGGAGCGAACCGGAUUAGAUACCCGGGUAGUCCCAGCUGUAAACGAUGCAGCUAGGUGUUUGGACGGCCACGUGCCGUUCUAGUGCCGCAGGAAGCUGUUAAGCCUGCCGCCUGGGGGGUACGAUCGCAAAAUUGAAACUUAAAGGAAUUGGCGGGGGAGCAC